Molecule: long non-coding RNA, 2169 nt
Organism: Mauremys mutica (yellowpond turtle)
Lineage: Eukaryota; Metazoa; Chordata; Testudines; Geoemydidae
Exons: 3
Source: RefSeq, a predicted model, not a curated record
CCAAAGGCUGUGCAUCCUUGCUGGCUGGAGAAGCUAGCUGUCCCCCAGGUUGCUGGUUUGGCACAGACUGUAAAUAGAAGGUGGUGGGAGCUGACACUGAAAAUAAAAAGCACUGGUGAUUGUACUCAGAAGGGGUCUCUGGCUGAUGGCAAGACCAAGUGUCCUAGAGCAUUGCUAUGGUGUUUCUGAUGAGAUGUACCACCAGGCCCUUUGAAGCCACCUGCUGGAGGCAUCAUGAUCCUACUAUACCCUGCCCCAGGAAAGGGGCAGUGAAGGUGGGUCCUCCACACCUGCCUAAAGAUGCUGCAGGGAAGAAGCCAAUCAGAGCUCAGUAGCCUCAGAAAAAAGGCACUGCAGAGUCUGAGCAGGUUAGUUACUGGCUGGGACCAGAAGGGUGGAGAGGGAGUAGAAGGCUGUGAAACUCCACAGAUAAAGUGACUGGGGAGAAACCUUGCUCCAGCAGGGAUAGGGUUGUGAAGCUCCCCAGGCACAGUAGUCUGGGAAAGAGAACUUUGACUAAAGGGGACCAGACUGUUGCAAGUUCUCCAGACAAAGAGGCCUCCGAGAAGACCCUGAGAAAUCAGGACAGGGACUGAAAAACUUUCCAGGCAAGGAGGCUUGGGAGAGACCCUGCUCCAACAGGGAACAGAUAAAGGACCCAGUAGGUGAUGGAACAGAACAGGAAACAACCCAGGUUAUGCAGCAGCAACUACUAAAGAAAACAGCACAUGGCUGCUAUUUAUAGGGUCCCUGGUUUGGGAUCUGGAGGCCUGGUGGGUGGGCCUGGUUCUCCCCCCCCCCACUGGCCAAGAAGAGGAUAAGACUCAGUACUAAAAGCUGGAGAAAGGGGCUAGAAUUUAAACAGGCCUAGAGAUGGGGCUGAAGACCCUGGAGAGGGCCAACCAUUUGAUGGACUGUGUCACUCCAGAUGGUGUUCCUUCAUGCAUUUGGACUAUGUGACUUAGCCAGAGAGCUGAGCCACUAAAGACCUGCUUGGCAAGGGCAACAGCCAACAGAAAGCACCAGGGAUAGAGAAAGGAGAGAGUGCACAAUUGCACUUAGCUGACAGGAGGCGCUCACAAGAGGUGAGUGUGACCCAUAGUGUUGCAUUAAGACCAUACAGUAUGAUUGCUGUCCCCUGGGCCCUCAGGAAAAUGAGAGGAAGCUGUCCCCAGUGUGCCGAAACUUUAAAUAAAUGCAUUCAGAGAAGGCUAAUACCCAGCUAAUGUAGACUUUAAAGUGUCAUUAGCUGAGAGAACUGACAAAACGGGUUACAUUCUAAAGGUGAAGACUUUGGAAAUGACUGAUCCAAUGGAAGAAUCAGGUUAUUCAUCUGGAAACAUCACUGGGCAGUGAAGAAAUAAUGCUGACUGUGUGACAUCACAAGCCAUAGAAACAGAUGGAUGUCAAAAGCAAGAUGCUGAGUUCAUUUCAGGAUCCAGCAAAAGGGGAAACUGGGUAAAAUCUUCAGUAGAUGGAAAGAACUAGAAAAUGCCAGCAAAAAUCAAUUGAUUUGCUCCAUUGAGCCCAGAGAAUGAGUAAAACUCUUCCUACCAGCAAAUGGACAGUAGCAAGCUAGCCUCUUAUGACAUCACUCAUAGCUGGAAGCCUUUGUUGACCUACAGGUGUGGCAGCUGGACCAAGUAACCACCCUCUGUUCAAUUUACAUCAUACACCAAUGCAAGGAAAUUAGUUGUAACAGGGGACGGUGAUUGAGUUACCUCUAUCAAACUGGUCUAGGAUUUUUUGCAUGGUAUUACUGUAGCUGUAUGCCACACUGAUGUCAUUUGUAAAGUCAAAAUGUCUGAGAACUUAAAACUUGAAGGGAAAUUCUUACCAUGAAAUGCCACCAUUUUCUUUGAAGUUGCUUUAAGUGCCAUAUGUGAAAAGAGGUAUAUCCCUGCUGGCUAACUAACCAGGGGACUCACCCAUGCAGACACUCCUUGUACAGCUCCUCCUCAGGAUAAAUGUGGGAUUUCAUUUCCUCAAGGCUGAGUCUCUCUUACAUAUAAAAGGAAUCUCCUCUAGGCUUUGUACCCUACACUGGGUGUCUCUUUAAGAGGGAACAGGGCCCAGUGCACCUGGGCUGAUUACCUGCUGCCCAGUUGGGGCUUAAGAAUCUCCAGCAGCUCCUGCUGUGUGCCACACUCAUUCUCUUGGGCUGCUCUC